This 161-nucleotide ribosomal RNA is filed under the name uncultured bacterium. Its description in RNAcentral is "partial 16S ribosomal RNA". The record is from RNAcentral.
GCACGGAGUUAGCCCGUGCUUCUUCUGAAGGUAGUGUCAAGUUCCUCAGGUGUUAACUGAGAAAAUUUCUUCCCAACCGAAAGUGCUUUACAACCCGCAGGCCUUCUUCACACACGCGGCAUUGCUGGAUCAGGCUUGCGCCCAUUGUCCAAUAUUCCCCA